GACGAACGCUGGCGGCGUGCUUAACACAUGCCAGUCGAACGGAAAGGCCCUGAUUUUGCGGGGUGCUCGAGAGCCGAACGGGUGAGUAACACGUGAGUAACCUGCCCUUGACUUUGGGAUAACUUCAGGAAACAGGGGCUAAUACAGGAUAGGAGCUCCUGCUGCAUGGUGGGGGUUGGAAAGAUUCGGCGGUUGGGGAUGGACUCGCGGCUUAUCCGCUUGAUGGUGGGGUAGUGGCUUACAAAGGCUAUGAAGGGUAGCCGGCCUGGGAGGGUGACCGGCCACAUUGGGACUGAGGGACGGCCCAGACUCCUACGGGCGGCAGCAGUGGGGAGUAUUGCACAAUGGGCGGGAGCCUGAUGCAGCAACGCCGCGUGCGGGAUGACGGCCUUCGGGUUGUAAACCGCUUUCGCCUGUGACGAAGCGUGAGUGACGGUAAUGGGUAAAGAAGCACCGGCUAACUACGUG
This 468-nucleotide ribosomal RNA is filed under the name uncultured bacterium. RNAcentral describes it as "partial 16S ribosomal RNA". It matches the Rfam family "Bacterial small subunit ribosomal RNA", at positions 28 to 507 of the family's 1533-position model. The record is from RNAcentral.